This 467-nucleotide ribosomal RNA is filed under the name uncultured bacterium. Its description in RNAcentral is "partial 16S ribosomal RNA". It matches the Rfam family "Bacterial small subunit ribosomal RNA", at positions 28 to 507 of the family's 1533-position model. The record is from RNAcentral.
GAUGAACGCUGGCGGCGUGCUUAAUACAUGCAAGUCGAACGGACAGGCCUCUUUCGGGGGGUACUCGAGUGGCGAACGGGCGAGUAACACGCGAGUAACUUGCCCUCGUCUUUGGGAUAACUUCAGUAAACAGGGGCUAAUACCGGACAGGAGCUCUUGUUGCACGGAGGGGGUUGGAAAGUUUCGGCGGUUGGGGAUGGGCUCGCGGCGUAUCAGCUUGUCGUUGGGGUAGUGGUUUACCAAGGGCUUGACGGGUCGCCGGACUGUGGGAGUGAGAGGCCACACUGAGACUGAGGUGAGGCACAGGCACCGACGGGUGGGAGCAGUGGGGAAUAUUGCACGAGGGGUGGAGGCCUGAUGCAGCAGCGCCGUGUACGGGAUGACGGCCUUCGGGUUGAAGACCGCUUUCGCUCAUAACGAAGCUUUGUGUGACGGUAGUGGGUAAAGAAGCACCGGCUAACUACGUG